RNAcentral lists this ribosomal RNA (463 nucleotides) under uncultured bacterium. RNAcentral describes it as "partial 16S ribosomal RNA". It matches the Rfam family "Bacterial small subunit ribosomal RNA", at positions 29 to 507 of the family's 1533-position model. The record is from RNAcentral.
ACGAACGCUGGCGGCGUGCUUAACACAUGCAAGUCGAACGGAAAGGCCCCUUUGGGGGUACUCGAGUGGCGAACGGGUGAGUAACACGUGAGUAACCUGCCCUUGACUUCGGGAUAACUUCAGGAAACUGGGGCUAAUACCGGAUAGGAAUCCUUGCUGCAUGGUGGGGGUUGGAAAGCUUCGGCGGUUUUGGAUGGACUCGCGGCUUAUCAGCUUGUUGGUGGGGUAGUGGCUUACCAAGGCUUUGACGGGUAGCCGGCCUGAGAGGGCGACCGGCCACAUUGGGACUGAGAUACGGCCCAGACUCCUACGGGAGGCAGCAGUGGGGAAUAUUGCACAAUGGGCGGAAGCCUGAUGCAGCAACGCCGCGUGCGGGAUGACGGCCUUCGGGUUGUAAACCGCUUUCAGCAGGGGCGAAGCUUUUGUGACGGUACCUGCAGAAGAAGCACCGGCUAGCUACGUG